GUCACGGUGGCGGAGAGGUUAAGGCGUUGGACCUCGAAAAUCCAAUGGGGUUUCCCGCACAGGUUUGAAUCCUGUUCGUGACG
Non-coding RNA from Hippoglossus stenolepis (Pacific halibut), 83 nucleotides. NCBI's taxonomy places the organism in Eukaryota, Metazoa, Chordata, Actinopteri, Pleuronectiformes, Pleuronectidae. The record is from the annotation of a RefSeq genome assembly.